Molecule: ribosomal RNA, 497 nt
Filed under: uncultured bacterium
Lineage: Bacteria
Description: partial 16S ribosomal RNA
Rfam family: Bacterial small subunit ribosomal RNA
Source: RNAcentral
GAUGAACGCUGGCGGCGUGCCUAAUACAUGCAAGUCGAGCGAAAGGACGAGAAGCUUGUUUCUUUCUCGUUAGGGGCGGGGGGGAGAAAAACACGUGGAAACCCUCCUUAUCAGACUGGUAAAACUUCGGGAAACGGUCGAUAACCCGGGAUAAUCUCUUGAACCGCAGGGUUGAAAAGUGAAAGACGGCCUUGCUGUCACUUAUAGAUGCAUCCGCGCUGGAUUAGCUAGUUGUUAAGUUAACGGCUUACCAAGGCAAGGAUGCAUAGCCGACGUGAGGGGGUGGUAGGCCGCACUGGAGCUGAGACACGGUCCAGAGGCCUACGGGAGGCAGCAGUAGGGAAUCUUCCGCAGUGGGCGGAAGCCUGACGGAGCAGCGCCGCGUGAGUGAUGAAGGUCUUCGGAUCGUAAAAAUCUGUUACUAGGGAAGAACAUAUGUGGAAGGAACUGAGCACAUCGUGACGGUACCUGAUCAGAAAGCCCCGGCUAACUACGUG